GGCGGACGGGUGAGUAAUGUAUAGUUAAUCUGCCCUUUAGAGGGGGAUAACAGUUGGAAACGACUGCUAAUACCCAUACUCCUUUUAUCUUAAUGAUAAUUGGGAAACGUUUUUUCGCUAAAGGAUGAGACUAUAUGGUAUCAGGUAGUUGGUGGGGUAAGAGCCUACCAAGCCUAUGACGCCUAGCUGGUCUGAGAGGAUGAUCAGCCACACUGGAACUGAGACACGGUCCAG
This 234-nucleotide ribosomal RNA is filed under the name uncultured bacterium. RNAcentral's name for it is "partial 16S ribosomal RNA". It matches the Rfam family "Bacterial small subunit ribosomal RNA", at positions 97 to 334 of the family's 1533-position model. The record is from RNAcentral.